AACUAUUUUGGCAGAGUUAAGUGCGAUAAAUUUAGAAUUUAUAAAUGUAAUUUUAGUUACAAGUAGU
This 67-nucleotide transfer RNA is filed under the name Anoplocnemis curvipes. RNAcentral's name for it is "tRNA-Leu". The record is from RNAcentral. Lineage: Eukaryota; Metazoa; Arthropoda; Insecta; Hemiptera; Coreidae.